This 1336-nucleotide long non-coding RNA is filed under the name Cricetulus griseus (Chinese hamster). RNAcentral describes it as "lncRNA (ENSCGRG00015033957.1)". The record is from RNAcentral. Lineage: Eukaryota; Metazoa; Chordata; Mammalia; Rodentia; Cricetidae.
GUGACUUGUUAUCUUACAUGAAUAACAAACAGCUCUCAGCAUGCUAGAAAGUUAUCUGCCCUUGAGUAAGUGGGUCUUACAGGUUAGAGGCAUUUUUGUUUUCUAAGAUUUCUUAAGCCUUGUAAUUAAAACUUAAAAUAUAACGUUAGCCCUCACACCAGAUUAAAUAUUAACUAAAUCAAACUAGGUUGUAGAUGGGCAAUUGUGGCUGGGAGCUUCUGGAAAUUUCCUCCCUGCUGCAAGGAAGGCAGUGUGGGGAUCAUCUGGGACCGUGAGGGCUACUAUGGUGUGUAGGUUCUCUGGCAGCUGUUCAGCACACAUUCUCUGCUUAGCACAGGGCAGACAGCCAGGGAGAGUCGCUGAAAACUCAUAAGGACUGGGGCAGCCUUGCCAAAGUCUACUUCCCCUUUUAUGAGAGACAACAGAGAGAAAUAAACAUUUGGAGGCUUUGCAUAGCUCUCAACGGUGAGUCAACCCCUUGUCGGCAGAGGGAAAUCACCAAAUUCAGUACCAAACACGAGUUUGUCUGAGCCGCAGAGUGGUUACCCUGGCAUGGGACACUCCACUCUCCUAUCUGAACGUAGAAGGGAUAACUCAUUUGGACAGGGACUUGAAGGAACACUUUUGUCCUGGGAAGUGGAGGGUCCACAAUGCUGUUGUUUCCCUUUCAGGGGAACAUAAGAAGGCAGGUGUGGGGGCUGGAGAGAUGGCUCAGUGGUUAAGAGCACUGACUGCUCUUCCAGAGGACCAGGGUUCAAUUCCCAGCAUCCACAUGGCAGCUCACAACUGUCUGUAACUCCAGUUCCAGGAGACUUGACACUCAUACAGACAUACAUGAAGGCAAAACUCCAAUGCACAUAAAAUAAAAAUAAAUAAAAAUUCAAGAAAAAAAGAAGGCAGACAUGUUAGCAGCUCAUGUUUCAGGAGACCCAUCCCUGUUACCAGGAGGGAAUUCAACUUUAUAGAACUAGAAACCAACAGGAACCAGCCAUGUGGCCUUAAAUAAAGUGAUGUAAAAAGCAGCAGUCUGGAGAGAUGGCCCAGGGGGUAAAACUGCUCGCUCCUCAGUCAUGAGGACAAGCACUUGAUCCAUCACCUUAGAGCAAGUCAGUUUCCCCACAUUCUGAACUCCGUGCACAUGUAUCCAUCACACAGAGACAUUUAAAUACAUAAACUGAGUACUUCCAAGUGAUGAAAGAAAGAAUUCGUUUUCUCACUGUGCCCUGGGAGUUGGUCUGGACUGAAUAAAAGCAUUUUGGCUGUGUCUUCAACCUUUCCCCUCCAUUCUCUUUUCUUCUAUUUAUAGCAUGACUCCUUUGGCACAUGUCUGGCUCAG